This 520-nucleotide ribosomal RNA is filed under the name Clostridium perfringens. Its description in RNAcentral is "partial 23S ribosomal RNA". It matches the Rfam family "Bacterial large subunit ribosomal RNA", at positions 1608 to 2141 of the family's 2925-position model. Lineage: Bacteria; Bacillati; Bacillota; Clostridia; Eubacteriales; Clostridiaceae. The record is from RNAcentral.
CCAAGAAAAGCGUCUAGAGAGAGAAGUAGUGCCCGUACCGCAAACCGACACAGGUAGGUGAGGAGAGAAUCCUAAGGCCGGCGGAAGAAUUACAGUUAAGGAACUCGGCAAAUUGACCCCGUAAGUUCGCGAGAAGGGGUGCCUACGAGAGUAGGCCGCAGAGAAUAGGCCCAAGCAACUGUUUAGCAAAAACACAGGUCUCUGCUAAAGCGUAAGCUGAUGUAUAGGGGCUGACGCCUGCCCGGUGCUGGAAGGUUAAGGGGAACACUUAGCGCAAGCGAAGGUGUGAACUUAAGCCCCAGUAAACGGCGGCCGUAACUAUAACGGUCCUAAGGUAGCGAAAUUCCUUGUCAGGUAAGUUCUGACCCGCACGAAUGGCGUAAUGACUUGGGCACUGUCUCAACUGUAAAUCCGGCGAAGUUGUAGUGCGAGUGAAGAUGCUCGCUACCCGCGAUUGGACGGAAAGACCCCGUAGAGCUUUACUGUAGCUUAGCAUUGAGUUUUGGUAUUGUCUGUACAG